AGUGAACGCUGGCGGUAGGCCUAACACAUGCAAGUCGAACGGCAGCACAGUAAGAGCUUGCUCUUACGGGUGGCGAGUGGCGGACGGGUGAGGAAUACAUCGGAAUCUACUUUUUCGUGGGGGAUAACGUAGGGAAACUUACGCUAAUACCGCAUACGACCUACGGGUGAAAGCAGGGGAUCUUCGGACCUUGCGCGACUGAAUGAGCCGAUGUCGGAUUAGCUAGUUGGCGGGGUAAAGGCCCACCAAGGCGAGGAUCCGUAGCUGGUCUGAGAGGAUGAUCGGCCACACUGGAACUGAGACACGGUCCAGACUCCUACGGGAGGCAGCAGUGGGGAAUAUUGGACAAUGGGCGCAAGCCUGAUCCAGCCAUCCCGCGUGUGUGAAGAAGGCCUUCGGGUUGUAAAGCCCUUUUGUUGGGAAAGAACAGCAGCAGGUUAAUACGCCGCUGUUCUGACGGUACCCAAUAAAUAAGCACCGGCUAACUACGUG
This 492-nucleotide ribosomal RNA is filed under the name uncultured bacterium. RNAcentral describes it as "partial 16S ribosomal RNA". It matches the Rfam family "Bacterial small subunit ribosomal RNA", at positions 29 to 507 of the family's 1533-position model. The record is from RNAcentral.